RNAcentral lists this transfer RNA (65 nucleotides) under Anodonta exulcerata. Its description in RNAcentral is "tRNA-Met". The record is from RNAcentral. Lineage: Eukaryota; Metazoa; Mollusca; Bivalvia; Unionida; Unionidae.
AGCAGGAUAAGCUAACUAAAAAGCUGUUGGGCUCAUAACCCAAAAAUAGAACUCUCUUCCUGCUA